GCACGCACUGCCUUGGUGACCAAGGAAGGCACCCCACGGCUAUGGGGAAAUUAGCCUGAGACUUAGCUUUCAUUAUCACUGUCUCCCAGGGUGUGCUUGUCGAAGAGAUAUUCUGCCGAGCCAGAUUCGGGCGCUCCCAUCUUGCGCAAGUUGGUCACGUGGUCACUCAAUUCUUUGAUGGCUUUCACCUGCUCAUUCAGGGCACUAAUAUACACAUGAUGAUACUUAAUUCUCUCAGAAAACCUUUGGCAAAGACACUUUCUACAUCUUGAAGGCAAGGAAUCUGAAUCUUGAAGAGAUUAAAUGAAUUGUCCAAAGUCACGUGGGGGUUUGGGAGAAGGAAAAUCAUGAACACACAUUCUUCUACUCUGGAGAAGUGGGGAAGGUGACCUGGGAAACCAUCUGAAAGGGAGCAGGAUGGAUUCUAUAAAAUAUAGAGUGUUCAAUGAAAACAACCUGAUGCUCCUCCCAGUACCAUCACAUUUUUCUAGCUGCAUAUCCUUAGGCAUGAGGCUGAAGCCAGGAAAUGACCCAACAUUGAGGGUAAUCUGGGCACUGAAGGCACUACAAUUCCCAGGAUUUUUCAAGAAAAUGUCGAAUGUGCUGCCACAUAUGUCGGAUGCACAUGGAUCCCCUCCCACAAGGAAAAUCACGAUUGAAGAUCACCUCCUUGAAGAUGUCGUAUUGGGAGCGGUGUUUUUCCCUGUUGCUGACAGGUUAGACUUGCACAGGCGUCAGUACUGAGGUGUGAGACGGAGCCCAUGUAUGGCUUCUAUCUCUGCACUGUGGCUGCUCCGUUCAUGUGUCAGUCACAUCAGCUCAGAGACUGCCUAAUGUCAACUGGCCUAGUCAUUUUGUC
Molecule: long non-coding RNA, 859 nt
Filed under: Homo sapiens (human)
Lineage: Eukaryota; Metazoa; Chordata; Mammalia; Primates; Hominidae
Description: non-protein coding lnc-FABP5-5:3
Source: RNAcentral